CUCGACCUCUGCGCCGCCGUC
This 21-nucleotide non-coding RNA is filed under the name Arabidopsis thaliana (thale cress). The record is from RNAcentral. Lineage: Eukaryota; Viridiplantae; Streptophyta; Magnoliopsida; Brassicales; Brassicaceae.